AUAAAUCAAGUCCGCGGGGCAUGGAGGCUGCUGUCGCUGCAGCAGCUCAGCUUGCCCGGGGCGGGAACUCCCCCUUUCUCCUUUCGCCUCCCCAGCACCCACACCCUGUCUCCCCCUUAAUUCUUCCCUGGAUAAUAGCACCCUAACGACAACAGUCAUAAUAAUAGGGUUAGAACGACAGGGGAGGAAAACUCAACAGCCUAAAUAUCUCUGAAAACUGCAUCGCAAAAUGGAAGAAAGAGGGGGUCCCACUACUGUUUCAAAAGAGAGCCAUGGAAGUCAAAUGCUGAGGAUGGUGGCAUCAUAGGAUGAAUGGAGCUGGGUUCUUGAAACACUGCCUGGAGGAAAGACAGCAAAAAUGCCUCAUGAAUCCAACUGGACUGUUAGGAUGCUCACCCUUGGAGACCAGCAACAAUGUGUGCAGAAACCCAGGCCAUGUGGAGAGGCCCCACAUACGUGUCCAACUGAGGUCCCAGCUGACAGCUGGCAUUGACAUAAUGUUCACUCUGGGGGAAGCCAGCUGCCACGCUGUAAGGACACUCGGGCAGUCCUAUGAAGAGGCCCGUGUGGUGAGAAAGAGAGGCCUCCAGCCAACAGCCAUGUGAGUGGGCCAUUGAGGAAGCAGCCUCAGUGCCUGCAGCCCUGACUGGCAUCCUGAACUACCACCUUAAAUGAGACCCUGAGCCAGAGUCACUACUUCCAAAUUCUUGACCCACAGAAAUUGUGAAAUAAUAUUUGUUGUUUUAAGCCGCCAAGUUUUGGGAGUAAUUUGUUAUAUAGCAAAAGAUAAUUAAUACAUUCACUUCCUAAGAUUAUGGUGAAGAAUUAAGGAUACAGCAUGAAAAGAACUUUGCUAUUAUUUUUAUUAUCUGAUCCAAUUUAUGUUGAAGGGCCUUCAGUACUUUCUUCUUUUACUCUAUCUUGACAUUUGUCUGAAACAUUUUUGUUUGUUUGUUUGUUUGUUUGUUUGUUUUUUAGAGAUGGGGUCUUGCUAUGUUUCCCAGUUGGAGUGCAGUGAUUAUUCACAGACAUGAUCCCACUACUGAUCAGCAUGGGAGUUUUCACCUGCUCCAUUUCCCACCUGGGAGGUCAUCAUAUUGAUGGCGAGCUAAGUGUGGACACCUGAUCAGCAUAGCACAGUACAGCCCAGAACCCCUGGGCUCCAGUGAUCCUCUUACUUCAGCCUCUUGAGUAGCUGGAACUACAGGCCUGCACCACUGCACCCGGCUAGUUUGUUUUUGUUAGAGUUUUGUCUCUAGGAUUUUCCUCAGCUGAGUAUGUGAAGGCUAACUUCUCCUUGUGAAUCUGCAAAUAUCCUUAUUUUACCCUUUAUUUUACCAUGUAUCAUUUACAGGUAAAUGAUAUCUUAGCUGUGUAUUGAAUUUCUGUUUUUUGUUUUUUCUUCAGUACUCUAUAAAUAUUACUCCAGUAUCUUCUAGCUUCUCCCAUUUUCUCCUAGUGAAUGGUUAUUCUGCUCUUAUCUAGCAGGUGAUAAAUCUGUCAACAGAUAGUUUUUCCUUUUUGUUUUAUGUGUAAGUUGUUAUUUCUUCCUUAAAGUUCAUAAUCUUUUCCCAUUUAUUCUCUAAAUUUUAGACUAUAACCAGGAUGUGUUUAGGUUGAUAUCUUUGCUUAUCUAUUCUGCCUGGAAAUCAGGAACCUCUUCCAAUAUUCAGACUUGUGUUUUCAGCUCAGAAUAAUUAUUUUAUCAUUUGUUUGAUUAUUCCUUUAGUUGCACUGGAUCUUAGUUAAAAUGCCCAUUCUGAUUCAAAGUAUCUGGAAGGCAAGUAUUUGUCAACUAAGGGAAAGGUGACCAUGCAUCAUUGGUUUUGCUGAGACUACCUGGUUUACACCUUCAGGCUUUAUACUUAGAAAAUAUUGCGAUCAUCUUCUGGUCAUGAAGUUACAAACUUCAGGACAAAGGCUAACCAGCUAAGACUAGCAGAGCAAAUUCCAAGAACUUGGGGCUUUAAUUAACUUGAAUUGAUUUGGACUUGCCCUACCUUUAACUUCACACUGAGAUAAAAAUUCCCCACAUUUUCAAGCCAUUUUUGAGAUGAGUCUCUUAUGGUUGAAAGCAUCCUAAUUUAUACAACAUCCUUUUGGUACCUAACUAAAUAUUCACCAAUAUUUGGCACAUUUGUUAAAUCUUUUGGUGUGUGCCUCUUCUAUGUAAUGUAAAUAUGGUCUGAAUAUCCAUUCAGAAAUUAUAGUUGAUUUGCAAAAAUAACUACUAUAUCACCUAUAUUAAUUGAUAGUUAUUCCUUCCCAACCUUCUUUCACUCUUCCAUAUAUAUACAGAGUAAAUCUACAUCAUUAUGUUGAUUAAACAAAAUAGCAGUGAAAUCAGGAUGUUACUGCUCAUUGUGCAUUUAUUUCAAUUAUGGAAAAAGCCAACACUUUACUCCCUUAUUUAACACUUCUGUAGAAAAGCAGUUGAAAUAACCUAGUGUCAUUCUAAAAUGAUUUGUAUACUAUGUAGACCAGAAUCUAGGGCUAUACCUAAAAAUACAUAAAUGAAAUUAUUCUAGAAGUUAAAUCUUCAUGAAAAAACAAAUUAAAUGGUUUACUAACCUCAAGCUGAUUAAAUGUUUUUAUUAAAUGCAGCCUCAGCCAGCACCUCUUUUCAUGGCUGCAAUAAUUAAGUAUAAUAAAUAUUCAAAUCAGUAAUUGAAUUUGUUAAAAAAAACAUGCUCAGCUCAGUGAAGACUUUCUAAUAAAUAGAAUUCAGGUACCAUAUUUUCAUACUUCAUGACACUUGCCUCAUCUUAGUUUGAUGACUGCCGUUUCUUGCACUGUAACAAGAUUUUAUUUUUAUUUUGUUUUACGCUAUUCAAACAAAUACAUUCAAAGUCAUAGGCUACACCUAUGUAUAACCAUAUUCUGAGAGUUGGCUUAUGUGUUUGUUUAUUUUCUCACAAUUAAAGAUAGGUCAGAUGUUGCCAAAUUAGUAAAUAACUAAACUUGAGAUGGGAAAUACUCUAGAGACACAAUCUGCUUAGUUUUGCAUAGUUUUGCAUAGUUUUAGUCACUUUUCCCGUUACUCUGUCCAGCUUUCCAGUAAUACUCAUAACAUUGCCUUGAUUUCAUAUGACCACGCAGUAAAGUGAUUACUGCACUUAGAAUUUUGUUGCUUUUGCUGUGCUAACAACUUAAAAGUUUAAAAUAACUGAUGUUCAAAACAGUGAAGAUUUCCUUUUAUAAACAAGUUGGAAAGGAAAGUUUUUAUGUUAUUAUCCUCAAGUAUUCUAACUAAUAUAAAAUGUCUUUCAGUCUUUUAGGCAAACCAUUUAGACAAAAAGUACAAAUAAUAA
Homo sapiens (human) is the source of this 3311-nucleotide long non-coding RNA. Ensembl annotates it as SNAP25 antisense RNA 1. Its record names the gene SNAP25-AS1. NCBI's taxonomy places the organism in Eukaryota, Metazoa, Chordata, Mammalia, Primates, Hominidae. The record is from Ensembl.